UGGGGAAUAUUGGACAAUGGGCGAAAGCCUGAUCCAGCCAUGCCGCGUGUGUGAAGAAGGCCUUUUGGUUGUAAAGCACUUUAAGUGGGGAGGAAAAGCUUAUGGUUAAUACCCAUAAGCCCUGACGUUACCCACAGAAUAAGCACCGGCUAACUCUGUGCCAGCAGCCGCGGUAAUACAGAGGGUGCAAGCGUUAAUCGGAAUUACUGGGCGUAAAGCGCGCGUAGGUGGUUAUUUAAGUCAGAUGUGAAAGCCCCGGGCUUAACCUGGGAACUGCAUCUGAUACUGGAUAACUAGAGUAGGUGAGAGGGGAGUAGAAUUCCAGGUGUAGCGGUGAAAUGCGUAGAGAUCUGGAGGAAUACCGAUGGCGAAGGCAGCUCCCUGGCAUCAUACUGACACUGAGGUGCGAAAGCGUGGGUAGCAAACAGGAUUAGAUACCCUGGUAGUCCACGCCGUAACGAUGUCUACCAGUCGUUGGGUCUUUUAGACUUAGUGACGCAGUUAACGCAAUAAGUAGACCGCCUGGGGAGUACGGCCGCAAGGUU
Molecule: ribosomal RNA, 545 nt
Filed under: uncultured bacterium
Lineage: Bacteria
Description: bacterial SSU rRNA
Rfam family: Bacterial small subunit ribosomal RNA
Source: RNAcentral